RNAcentral lists this microRNA precursor (52 nucleotides) under Loxodonta africana (African savanna elephant). Its description in RNAcentral is "mir-1302 microRNA precursor family". It matches the Rfam family "mir-1302 microRNA precursor family". The record is from Rfam by way of RNAcentral. Lineage: Eukaryota; Metazoa; Chordata; Mammalia; Proboscidea; Elephantidae.
UACUUAGUAUAAGUAUGUCCUUUGCAAUAUUUAGGAUAUACUUACACUAAAA